RNAcentral lists this transfer RNA (82 nucleotides) under Streptomyces tauricus. RNAcentral describes it as "tRNA-Thr". Lineage: Bacteria; Bacillati; Actinomycetota; Actinomycetes; Kitasatosporales; Streptomycetaceae. The record is from RNAcentral.
GGGCGUAGUAGAGGGCCGCCGGGUGUCCCUGGGCCUGCUCGUGGCCGGUCGGCGGGGGCGGUUCGAUGUCGUCCCACGCGCG